Macrobrachium nipponense is the source of this 2728-nucleotide long non-coding RNA. RefSeq lists it as uncharacterized. The record is from RefSeq and is a predicted model, not a curated record. The transcript is spliced from 3 exons. Lineage: Eukaryota; Metazoa; Arthropoda; Malacostraca; Decapoda; Palaemonidae.
AGUACAUGCUUUCAUACAUCUCCUCUCUAAUAAGCUAGUAUUGAAAUAUUUUGUGAAAAUUUUUCUGUGAUGCUCUCGAAAUGCUAGCUAGGGCGGUUCAGUGUUAAGGAGUGGACAGUGGAAUAAUGGAAACAUUGUGGCUUAGGCCCAUUUGGCUAGGUCUGUUGAUGGCUCUCAACGAUUUUGCGGCAAGAGAUGUAGCCUAGCCUAUGUAGCUAUUUCGGCGGAGUCGGUUUAUAUAAAUUUGUUUCGAUGCAUCAGUUGAAUAGAAUGUUAGCGAAACAGUGUGAGAUUGUAAUUUGGCUUCGUCAGUUAUUUACAACUUUUAUAUUCAAAUUGAUGCAUUUGACGCAUUUGAGGUGUUAGGUAAUUGCUAGUCUGAGGAGUCUGGUUUACAGUAGGCGUAUCUUGACCCUGCAACUCAGACUGCUGUCGACUGAGGAGGAAAAAGGAAUAUAUUUCUAGAGACUUGUAGCCAUGGGGAUUAAAUUUCGUAAGGAGUGGGAUGUCAUAACUGGACAAAACUAUCUUCAUCCAUCUAGUCUCGUCUUGGCAUGAAAAUGUUCAGACAUCAGUUGGACCACACUGAAUCAAGAAUCAUGAAGAGUUUUUAUUCAAUCACUGAAUAUCUUGAGCAGAUAAUCUCUGAACCACCUUGAAAUUGUGCCACGAGGUAGUAGUUUAGUUAUCUAGUUAUUAGGGUGAAGGAGACAUAACCACUUAACACUAUAUGCGUAUAUGUUAACAUUUUCAUUGUUACAAAUGCUUACGUACAUGCACUUAUAAACUGAAAAGAAAAAAAUGCUAAACCUUAUGAGCUGUUAUUCAAAUUGAGAAGUGAAUGAAAACUAAAAAUCACAAGGCUCAACUUUAGUGCUAUGAAGGGUUCCUUCCACAGUCACAAUUUAUGUUCCACUUCUAUUUAUGUUGUGCCUGUAUCAUCUCAUCUUGAGGAAUCUCCAAAAUCUAUGUUACAAAGAUGGAACUAUGACUGUCAGUCAGAAUCAUUGUCACUGAAUCUCCCCAUUAAGGGCUCUACAACUGUCACAACAGAUUCCUCAUCCCUGACAUCAACAAUGGAAAGAGGUGCUCAUCCACAACUCGAAGGGUUACGUGGCCAGUACCCUUGAUAGGUACAUGUAUGCUAUUUAAUCCUAAAUGGGAACCAUUUGUUCAUCCUUGGACAACUUACUCCUACAAAGCCCAAAAACACAUUGUUUCCACUUGGAAUUUUCCCAAAAGGAGCAACACUUGAGUGUUAUGCAUGACAUUGUACAGUCCAAAAAGUCUUUGCAGUGUUAAGAAUAUUUAAAUGCUAUAAUAAUUAUGAUCUGCUAUAAAUAAAGUUAGCUUAGAUUUAGUGGUUAUAUGUCAGCAGGAUGAGGAUCUUAGAAAAAAUAUUCAUCAGUGAAUGAAGAACUUGCUCCCCAAACAAAGGUACCAUAUAUCCUCUUGGGAGUUUCCCCAAAAGUGUAUGGUGAUUUACCAGACUCCUCGAAUAUUUGGCUCGGCACUGAAGAUAUCUCAAGAUUCACUCCAGUCUCAGAAUCUAGUAGUAUUUUCUUGAAACUUCUUACUAGAGUUAAAUUCCCAGUAAAAUCUAUUAUUUUCUAUUAUUCAGUCACACUAAAACUUUAAAAAUGAACCACUUAUUGAAUCCCUCACUUCCAUUCAACAACGAAUCUUUACAUUGUUGACCCCUUUCUUCAGUCUGAUAUUUAGUCUCUCUCUCUCUCUCUCUCUCUCUCUCUCUCUCUCUCUCUCUCUCUCUCUCUCUCUCUCUCUCUCGAGCUUUUAUUCCUUUUCUCCCCCUGCAGGAGGGUAGUGCCAUCAUUGUGUUACAUGCAAUGCAUUGUAGGCAUUAGUUAGGUUCUUGCAGCCUCUAGCUCCAACCCCAUCCAUUUCAUUGAUUUAACUUAUCUCCAUUCAUAUUCUCUUUUUUUCCAUCUUACUUUCCACCCUCUCCUAACAAUUUAAAUGUAAGCCCACCCCCCACCCCCGUUACACCUUUGAAACCACCUUUACUCUCAAUUUUCCGUUGAGCACUGAAAGACUUCAUAGGCCUUUGGACCAAUCUUGUAUUCUAAUUGCAUUUCUUAUUCCCUUUUACCUUCCUUGGCUCUGCUUCAGUAGAGGCUGCUGUACUGUUUUCAAAAUGUUAAUUGUUACGAAUCCCUAAAUAGUCUUUGCAAAUAUAUGUUAUUAGUCUUGAAAAAUAGUGUUAUGUCAUGUCAAUAAUCCUUUACUAGUUGUUGCAAAUGUUAUUUGGGCUUGAAAAGUAGUGUUAAAGUCAUAUCAGUCCAAUUAAGUUAGUCAGCAAUUUGUAUGUUUUGAAGUAAUUUUUUGGAAUUUUACCCAGCUUUAGAGCUAAUGUUUGAUGUUAAUUUUUUCAAUUGUGCCCUGUUAACACCGUAGUUUUGUGAUACAAGUUACUGCUGAACUUUUAUCCCAGUAGUGUACAGUACUAAGAUGCUAAUGAAAAUAGGACUGUUGUAAUUUUAAAGUAAAUAUCAUUAGUUUUGCCGUAAGAUCUCGACUGUUUCCAAAGUGUCAAGAGUUAUACACUUAUAUGUUCUGCGAAUUCAUGUAAUUUCAAAUGCUUCAGAAUGUGUUAAGUGACUGUUGACAAGUAAGUACUUUUGGUUUACCUCCCAAGUUUAACAAGAUUAACGUCUAAAGGUAAUUUAAUCUUUUUUCUUUUUAUAAAUGAAAAGUUAUAAGCUUUAAA